Saimiri boliviensis boliviensis (Bolivian squirrel monkey) is the source of this 105-nucleotide small nuclear RNA. The record is from RefSeq and is a predicted model, not a curated record. Lineage: Eukaryota; Metazoa; Chordata; Mammalia; Primates; Cebidae.
AUGCUCACUUCAGCAGCACAUAUACUAAAAAUUGGAAUGAUACGGAGAUUAGCAUGGCCCCUGUGCAAGGAUGACACGCAGAUUCCUGAAGCGCUCCAUAUUUUU